Molecule: ribosomal RNA, 687 nt
Filed under: uncultured archaeon
Lineage: Archaea
Description: bacterial SSU rRNA
Rfam family: Archaeal small subunit ribosomal RNA
Source: RNAcentral
AGGCGCGAAAACUUUACAAUGCGGGAAACCGCGAUAAGGGAACCCCGAGUGCCAGCAUCAAAUGUUGGCUGUCCAGAUGAUUAAAACUCAUUUGUUAGCAAGGGCCGGGCAAGACCGGUGCCAGCCGCCGCGGUAACACCGGCGGCCCGAGUGGUAACCGUUUUUAUUGGGUCUAAAGGGUCCGUAGCCGGCCUGAUCAGUCCUUUGGGAAAUCUGACAGCUUAACUGUCAGGCUUCUAAGGGAUACUGUCAGGCUUGGGACCGGGAGAGGUAAGGGGUACUCCAAGGGUAGGGGUGAAAUCUUGCAAUCCUUGGGGGACCAUCUGUGGCGAAGGCGCCUUACCAGAACGGGUCCGACGGUGAGGGACGAAAGCUAGGGGAGCAAACCGGAUUAGAUACCCGGGUAGUCCUAGCCGUAAACGAUGCUCGCUAGGUGUCAGGCACGGCGCGUCCGUGUCCGGUGCCGCAGGGAAGCCGUUAAGCGAGCCACCUGGGAAGUACGGUCGCAAGGCUGAAACUUAAAGGAAUUGGCGGGGGAGCACUACAACGGGUGGAGCCUGCGGUUUAAUUGGAUUCAACGCCGGAAAACUCACCGGGUGCGACAGCAAUAUGUAGGUCAGGCUGAAGGUCUUACCUGAAUCGCUGAGAGGAGGUGCAUGGCCGUCGUCAGUUCGUACUGUGAAGCAU